Balaenoptera musculus (blue whale) is the source of this 405-nucleotide long non-coding RNA. RefSeq lists it as uncharacterized. NCBI's taxonomy places the organism in Eukaryota, Metazoa, Chordata, Mammalia, Artiodactyla, Balaenopteridae. The transcript has 3 exons. The record is from RefSeq and is a predicted model, not a curated record.
GCCGGCUGCCCGCGCCGCUCCGAUUUCGGGAUUCCUCUGGGAGAGUUGCACGCCUCGAUGGCGUCUCUCUUUGUCCCCCACUCGGAGAAUCAGGAUUCGGGGCCUGUAACUGAAGCAGGAGUCCGGCCAUGGCUGCGGAGAUGCCAUCACCCUAAGGAAAGAGGGAGGCAUCUUCUGAGGAAUCGCCUUCAGAACCCGAGGCACGUCUGUUCAUACCUUCAAUCCUGACAAGCUGUUUUUGAAGGCGAAUAUGAUGUUUGGAACCAUCCAGAAGUCAUUUGGAGUCCAGUGAAAAAGCCAGCGAUCAAGGGGAAAAUAAAGGUCUGAGUGAAAAGGUAGCAACCAAACAAAUAGGAGUGUGGAAGGGGAAGAGUUCCAACAGGAGUCAGACAAGAUCACUUCGGG